RNAcentral lists this non-coding RNA (367 nucleotides) under Osmundaria fimbriata. The record is from RNAcentral. Lineage: Eukaryota; Rhodophyta; Florideophyceae; Ceramiales; Rhodomelaceae.
GGGACUGAUCUGGUUUCUACAUGUCUAUUAACUUACUUUAGUAUGGGUUAGUUGGUAAUUUAAUACAAUUUUUGUGAAAUUGUUUUAUAGCAUUUUUUAUUUAAUUGCAAAACACAAUAUUAUAGUUUUUUCUCGAAAUAAAGCUUUAGCAUAGAUUUUGUGAAUGUUAAAAUUAUAUUUUUUCUAUAUUCUUUGACAUAUUUAAGGGAAUGCUCUUAUUAUUUAUAUUUAUUUUUAUCUAUUAAUAUUAGAUAUAUAAUGAGAUAAGUUAUAUUAAUUUCAUUUUAAUAAACCAAACUAUCCCUGUUUAUGAACAGCUAUGGUAUAAUAUUAGACGUGGACGUGGGUUCAAAUCCCGCCAGUUCCA